RNAcentral lists this ribosomal RNA (117 nucleotides) under Lepisosteus oculatus (spotted gar). The record is from RNAcentral. Lineage: Eukaryota; Metazoa; Chordata; Actinopteri; Semionotiformes; Lepisosteidae.
GACGGUAGUAUUCCCACCUUGUAACCUGAGCUGGUUGGAUCUCGGAAGCUAAGCAAGGUUGUGCCUGGAUGGUACUGGGUUGUGCGACCUCCUGGGAGAACCAGAUAGCUGAUGUAA